AAGCUGGCAGAACAGAGCAGCACACCAAGCAACAGGAAGAUGAAAGUGCGCUGUGUACACAGAGCUGAGCUGACAGGCCAGAGAGGGCUGGAUCCAGAGGACCAAUUAGGGCAUACACACCAGGGCUGGAGGCAGAUAAAGGGGCAGGAUGCGAGCAAUUCAAGAACAUCUAUUCACUGGCUGCUGGGGCUGAGCCAGAGCCUGGCUGCCAUGGAGAGAAGGGCACAUUGGCCCGCUCUCUUAGCUGUCAGCGGAGCCCUUGGGUUAGACCGGCAAUCCUUUCAAAAGCUCUGUCUGAGUACUUUCUGAGCAUCACCUCUGCCUGCAGAAAUAUCUGUGUCGCCCCACGGGACUGAACCUGCGACAUUUCCACCAGAUGCAAUAUAAUGUUACCCAAGUUUGUCAUGAAUAACCAGAAAUUGUGACCAGCAUCUGAGGGGGAACCUGAAUUGCCUAUGCUCUCCUAUAUAUUUCUCAGAGCCCUCAUUCAAUAAUUGAUGGAAGCAGAUGCAGAGAUCCAUAGCCAAACACUAGGCCGAGCUCCAGGAAUCCAGUCAAAGAGAGGGAAGAGGGUUUCUAUGACCAAGGGGCAUCAAGAUCAUGAUGGGGAAACCUACAGAGACAACCGAACCAAGCUGUCACUAUCUUGUCUGUGUUGAAGAAAAACUUGAAUGCAGUUUUUCUCUGUGGAUGAAGAUUUGAGAUAUUCUUUCUAUUCAAAUUCAACAAAACUGAAGAGUCUCUGACUCUGCUGUGCACUGAGCACUGUGCUAGGCCCUCUCAGGCAGAUUGGUGCCUAGCCCAGCUGUCAUCAGAGAGACUUCAUCCAGUAACUGGUGGAAACAGAUGUAGAGCUCCACAGCCAAACAUUGGGCUGAGCUCUGGGAAUCCUGCUGAAGAAAGGGAGAAAGGAUUGUAGGAGCCAGAGGGGUCAAGGACACUACAAGGAAACCCACAGAAUCAACUAACCUGGGCUCAUAGGGGCUCACAGAGACUGAACCAACAACCAAAGAGCCUGUGUGGGACUGACCUAGGCCUUCUGCAUACAUAUGACAGUUGUGUAGCUUGGUCUUCUUGUGGGAAUCCUAACAGUGGAAGCAGGGACUGUAUCCAACUUUUCUGCCAUCUUUUGGGACCCUGUUCCUCAUACUGGGUUGCCUUGCCCAGUCUUAAUACAAGGGGAGGUGCCUAGGCACUUUACUGCAAUAUGAUACACCAUGUUUGGUUGAUAUCCAUGGGAGGAGGUCUGCCCUUUUCUGAAUAGAAAUGGAGGAGGAGUG
This is a long non-coding RNA of Peromyscus californicus insignis, 1280 nucleotides long. RefSeq lists it as uncharacterized. The record is from RefSeq and is a predicted model, not a curated record. The transcript has 5 exons. Lineage: Eukaryota; Metazoa; Chordata; Mammalia; Rodentia; Cricetidae.